Molecule: ribosomal RNA, 292 nt
Filed under: uncultured bacterium
Lineage: Bacteria
Description: partial 16S ribosomal RNA
Rfam family: Bacterial small subunit ribosomal RNA
Source: RNAcentral
GUGCCAGCAGCCGCGGUAAGACGUAGGAUGCAAGCGUUGUCCGGAUUUAUUGGGCGUAAAGAGUUCGUAGGUGGUUUGUUAAGUCUGGUGUUAAAGACCGGGGCUCAACUUCGGGAGUGCAUUGGAUACUGGCAGACUAGAGUGCGGUAGAGGCGAGUGGAAUUCCCAGUGUAGCGGUGAAAUGCGUAGAUAUUGGGAAGAACACCAGUGGCGUAGGCGACUCGCUGGGCUGUAACUGACACUGAGGAACGAAAGCCAGGGGAGCGAAUGGGAUUAGAUACCCCCGUAGUCC